UCGAGCGAGAAAGUAUCUUCGGAUAUGAGUAGAGCGGCGGACGGGUGAGAAACGCGUAGGAAUCUACCUAGUAGAAGGGGAUAGCCCGGGGAAACUCGGAUUAAUACCGUAUACCUCCUAAGGGAGAAAGAGGGCCUCUCUUGAAGCUCUCGCUAUUAGAUGAGCCUGCGUAAGAUUAGCUUGUUGGUAAGGUAAUGGCUUACCAAGGCUACGAUCUUUAGCUGGUCUGAGAGGACGAUCAGCCACAUUGGGACUGAGACACGGCCCAGACUCCUACGGAAGGCAGCAGUGGGGAAUAUUGGACAAUGGGCGCAAGCCUGAUCCAGCCAUACCGCGUGUGUGAAGAAGGCCUUCGGGUUGUAAAGCACUUUAAGCAGGGAGAAAAAGCAAUGAGUUAAUACCUUAUUGCCGUGAUGUUACCUGCAGAAUAAGCACCGGCUAAUUCCGUGCCAGCAGCCGCGGUAAUACGGAAGGUGCAAGCGUUAAUCGGAAUUACUGGGCG
This 502-nucleotide ribosomal RNA is filed under the name uncultured marine bacterium. Its description in RNAcentral is "bacterial SSU rRNA". It matches the Rfam family "Bacterial small subunit ribosomal RNA", at positions 62 to 560 of the family's 1533-position model. The record is from RNAcentral.